GGGGAUGUUUAGGAUUCGACAGGUAUAGGUCGGGCUUGAGUUGCGCUUAGUAGGUUGCGACUACUAUAAAACGCUCAGUUUAAAUUAUAACUGCAAAAAAUAAUAACAAUUCUUACGCUUUAGCUGCCUAGUCAGCAUUGCGUAGAUCCGUGCGGUAUCGUCUGUGUGCCGGUUACGGGUCCUAUAUUAGCAGACUACGCUUAAAGUUUUAGCCUGAAAUUUUAAGAAGAGACUUUUAGGCUAGUUAUUGAUGUUAGCCCUGUUAUACGGCGGAAUCAAUAAUGAAGUUCAAAUAGUAUAACUAUGAGCGUAGAUACUUGAGUUACGAUAUGCUUGGACGCGGGUUCGAUCCCCGCCAUCUCCAUAU
Molecule: non-coding RNA, 367 nt
Rfam family: transfer-messenger RNA
About the family: Bacterial tmRNA, also known as 10Sa RNA or SsrA, is named for its dual tRNA and mRNA-like properties. Its role is to liberate the mRNA from a stalled ribosome. To accomplish this part of the tmRNA is used as a reading frame that ends in a translation stop signal.
Source: Rfam